CCUACGGGUGGCAGCAGUGAGGAAUAUUGGUCAAUGGGCGCGAGCCUGAACCAGCCAAGUCGCGUGAGGGAAGACGGUCCUAUGGAUUGUAAACCUCUUUUGUCGGGGAGCAAAAGACGCCACGCGUGGCGUUCAGAGAGUACCCGAAGAAAAAGCAUCGGCUAACUCCGUGCCAGCAGCCGCGGUAAUACGGAGGAUGCGAGCGUUAUCCGGAUUUAUUGGGUUUAAAGGGUGCGCAGGCGGAAGAUCAAGUCAGCGGUAAAAUUGAGAGGCUCAACCUCUUCGAGCCGUUGAAACUGGUUUGCUUGAGUGAGUGAGAAGUAUGCGGAAUGCGUGGUGUAGCGGUGAAAUGCAUAGAUAUCACGCAGAACUCCGAUUGCGAAGGCAGCAUACCGGCGCUCAACUGACGCUCAUGCACGAAAGUGUGGGUAUCGAACAGGAUUAGAUACCCCUGUAGUC
This 459-nucleotide ribosomal RNA is filed under the name uncultured bacterium. RNAcentral describes it as "partial 16S ribosomal RNA". It matches the Rfam family "Bacterial small subunit ribosomal RNA", at positions 338 to 795 of the family's 1533-position model. The record is from RNAcentral.